Non-coding RNA from Cinara cedri, 211 nucleotides. The record is from the annotation of a GenBank genome assembly. Lineage: Eukaryota; Metazoa; Arthropoda; Insecta; Hemiptera; Aphididae.
AACGUUAUUAAAAUAUAUGUAUAUUAGAAAAUGUUUAAUGCACUACCGCUGCACACGUUUCGAAAUUAAUAAACUUAGUGCUGAAUAAUAUCCACUAUAAAAACGUAUAAUAUAUACACAUUUUAUUGUCAUUUGAUGAUGAUGAUGACGAUAAUAAUGAUAAUAAUACGACGACAUUAGGUUUUUAACCAUAAUACAGCCGUCGCAUAUG